Molecule: long non-coding RNA, 380 nt
Organism: Cynara cardunculus var. scolymus (artichoke)
Lineage: Eukaryota; Viridiplantae; Streptophyta; Magnoliopsida; Asterales; Asteraceae
Exons: 2
Source: RefSeq, a predicted model, not a curated record
ACACUUGUUCCAAUUUUUGAAUUUUUAGGGUUUUGAUUUGCCUCAGAAGCUCGGUGAUUUAUCAUCGUUUUUUUCGCAAAUUUGUGUCGGUGAUUUUGCUACAACGGAAAGUAAUGACGGUGUCUCGGGUUCUGUCGGUGACUGCAAUGACGACGUUCGUGGUUUUGUUAGGCAUUGUUUGUCCUUGUGUCAAAGCUCAAUCGUUGCCACCCGUUCCUGCUCCUUCUAACGAUGGGACAUCUAUUGACCAAGGAAUUGCUUAUGCAUUGAUGAUGGCUGCCUUGUUUCUCACUUACCUCAUUCAUCCCUUGGAUACCUUUCCUUUUAAUUUCUUUUUGUAAUUAGAUUCUGAUUUGAGCAGAAUAAAAAUGCAUUUUUUU